Molecule: ribosomal RNA, 468 nt
Filed under: uncultured bacterium
Lineage: Bacteria
Description: partial 16S ribosomal RNA
Rfam family: Bacterial small subunit ribosomal RNA
Source: RNAcentral
GACGAACGCUGGCGGCGUGCUUAACACAUGCAAGUCGAACGGAAAGGCCCUGCUUUUGUGGGGUGCCCGAGUGGCGAACGGGUGAGUAACACGUGAGUAACCUGCCCUUGACUUUGGGAUAACUUCAGGAAACUGGGGCUAAUACCGGAUAGGAGCUCCUGCUGCAUGGUGGGGGUUGGAAAGUUUCGGCGGUUGGGGAUGGACUCGCGGCUUAUCAGCUUGUUGGUGGGGUAGUGGCUUACCAAGGCUUUGACGGGUAGCCGGCCUGAGAGGGUGACCGGCGAGAGGGGGACGGAGACACGGCACGGACGCCGACGGGAGGCAGCAGGGGGGAAUAGGGGAAAAUGGGCGGAAGCUUGAGGCAGAAACGCCGCGUGGGGGAUGAGGGCGUGAGGGUUGUAAACCGCGUUCGACGGGGACGAAGCGGUAGUGACGGUAAGGGGUAAAGAAGAACCGGCUAACUACGUG